GAUGAAGAACGUAGCGAAAUGCGAUAAGUAGUGUGAAUUGCAGAAUUCAGUGAAUCAUCGAAUCUUUGAACGCACAUUGCGCCCCUUGGUAUUCCAUGGGGCAUGCCUGUUCGAGCGUCAUUUGUAUCUUCAAGCUUUGCUUGGUGUUGGGUGUUUGUCCUGCUCUAUGCGUGGACUCGCCUUAAAUCAAUUGGCAGCCGGUAAUCUGGUGUUGAGAGCGCAGCACAUUGUGCGCUCCUCGCUUUGUAUUGCGGCGUCCAUUAAGCCUAUACUUUUUUUGCUCUUGACCUCGGAUCAGGUAGGGAUACCCGCUGAACUUAAGCAUAUCAAUAAGCGGAGGA
Molecule: unclassified non-coding RNA, 341 nt
Filed under: soil metagenome
Description: partial contains 5.8S ribosomal RNA, internal transcribed spacer 2, and large subunit ribosomal RNA
Rfam family: 5.8S ribosomal RNA (bases 1-120)
Source: RNAcentral